UCCGGAGCUCUCCGCCGGGCAAGGCCGUCCCCGUCCGUAAAUUCCCUGCAACUUCAGCCACCUGUUGCCGGACAUUGAACCGCGCGGUUUUCAAGCAACGCGCUGUACCAUGGAUCUGAUCAAAUUGCAUGCAUAUCCCUCUCUUUUUCCUGCGAUCCCCGAUGCUGCACGGAAGACCCCAUCACCUCAGCUGACAGAAUGCUUUUACUCAUCGCCUUUAUAGCUCUCUUGUGGCUUUCCUGGCCUGGCAUCCUUAGCUCUCCGGGCAGCCAGCCUCAUCCUGGGUGUUUAAUUAUCAGUUAUCUCCAGUGCACAAGCUAUUAAUACUUUUGCCAUGACAAUAUUCACCUGAGAAUUUGACUUAUUUCAGCAGUUGGUAGGACAAAGAGGUGUUCAUCACCGAAUGCACUGGCACAACAGUUACAUUUAAGGGCAUGGAUUCUUUUCUCCUUUACUUGAGUUUCUUAGUUUGAAGUAUUAUACUAGUACAGCUUUGUACAAUAUGCUUGUUCAACUAACAGUGGAACUUGUGUUGACAUAGCUUAUCUCCUCCCUAAAACAAGUUAAUGUUACCUUGUGCAUAUUAAAUUUUAGAUUGAUAUAUGUAUGUCCCCCACAGGAAAGCUCUACAAAUUAACUUUACAACUUCUUGCUGUCAGCAAGACCCAGGUCUGCAUAAAAAGAUAUGCUGUUCUCAGCAGUAGUCUUGACAUGUAAACCCAAAUGCAACGUUAUUCAGAAAACAAAACAUAAAAUGGAAUGUAAACACCCAUAUAUGUGAGAAAUCCUGUUUCUCUGCAUAUAUCUUAGAGUGUAACAUAUAUUUAAUAUACCAAUGGAAAAGUAACUAGUUACUAUAUAUUAAUCAAAUUCAGGUGAAUGUAUGUGUAUAACAAUGUAUUUCUCAAAAACUUUAUUAUUUUCAUAUUUUCCUGUCAACUGAUAUAUAAACCAUUAGGUUCCAGAAGUACCCAUUAUGUAAGUAACUUAUAUAAGUGAUGUGAUUGUUGACACACCUAAUACCCAGCAACAUUUCCUGUUGAUUAAAAGCAAGUACUCAGACUUGGAAAGAAAGGAUAAAAAUAAUAUAGCUAAGACCUGCAAUUUUGAAUCAGAAUUGAGGCUGUUAAUAUUAAGUGAAAUCUGUACUUUCUUUUAAUUCAGAAUUAAGGAGUCUUUCCCUUAGUAAAAGUCUGUUCAAAUCAUGUUGCUGAGACGUGCGUGAACAGAUAGCAGCAGCAUCCAGUAAUAAUGUAGGAAAAAAUCUACAUGGCUGAAGACUACUCUGGCUGAUGUCACCAAAAGUUAUCCAUAGCCCUGCUUCCACCUCUUAGCCCUGCUUCCACCUCUUCUUUAAUCUGGUAAGAAUAAUGCACUAGGCCAUCAUGUGGCCAUUUUAAAGUUUUAAGAUGUCCUUAAUUACUUUUAAGUAAUUGGAAUUGCUUUCAUAAGGUUACUUAAUUGCAUUUUGACACCUUAUUUACUUUUGGAAAUGUUUGGAUUUGUUUUGAAUGGGUCUGGCAACUCAGCAGGACUGUUUGUAAGAAAUCAUUUCCAUGUUCAUAAAGAAAAGCUUUUGGAACACGUUUUCUUGGAAAUAACCAAUAUGUACCAGCUAGGGUAAAAAUGUCUGUUCAUAUGAUUUAUAUAUUGUGGUUCAGUCCCCAGUUCUCUGACAUUUUUUGCAUAUGCACUGUCAUGUAUUGAUUCACACCCUGUACCGGGAAAUUGUUCUCCUGGGCAAUGAUCCGCAGUCACUGUCUUGAGGAACAAACAUAGGAACCUGCUAGGAUUCUGCAGUUUGGUGUGAAGCCAAGCUAUUUUCAGGACUCCUGCAGUGUUAAGCCACCACCAUUUCAAAUGCUUGCCCACCUGUUUGGAGGAAACGAUGGAGAGUCCAGAGAAUGGACUAGAGAAAGACAUGAUGGUGGGGUAGUGAUACUGGCAGGAAAGGAGGAGGUGGAGACCGAGUCAUUCCAUGGCUGGUUGGGAUAGAGAGUAAUUAUGCUGGGACUUUAGGAUGGUAAAGUUGCAAAGCAUCUGUACAGAUUGCAGUCUGAAUAUUCAGCAGCAAAGAGACAAUACAGCUGCACCUCUACAUGUGGACUUUCUGCUCACUGGGAUUGAUAAUGGUCUACCAGUAUGUGCUAGAAAUGUUUAUCACAUGUAUAUUUCACUGUGUUGGUACUGAGGAAAUACUUCCUGUUUUACAAAGUUUAUGACCCCAAGCUCUGCUGGCAGCAGUGGCUGAAUGUGCCUAUAUUUCAAGCUGAAAAUUUGGUUUCAUAAAUAGAAAAAAAAUUCUUUUUCUCAAGCUUCUUCAAGCAAAGCCUUAUGAAUCGCUACAGAAAGUUCUAUGUUAUAGAAUUAUAUACAAUGGUUAAUAACAGGUUUUUUGGAAAUUCAGCCUUAUUUACUGAAACAGAAAUAAGAAUUGCUCUGCAGACUGCAAUGGAUGUUAUUGAUGUGUCCACUCCUUUUCUCACUCUUGGAGGUCUAAACAUCUUUCUGCUUCUCUGACUAAUGAUGCCUUUUACUUGGCAAAUGCACUGGAGAAAGGAACUGCAUGACUGUUCUGACCAACUGUAAAAUAAUAAUAAAGGGCUUUGUUGGGAAAUUAAGGGCAGGUGGAGGAGCCUUACAAACACUCUGAUCAAUAUUUGCUGCAAGUGGCAGAUGUUCACUAUGUCUUAUUGGAAGUCCAUGAGAGGAGAAGGAGAUCUCUGUGCUGCUCAGGAAAACAAGAAAUCCUGUGCUCAUCUUGGAAUGAGAAGGAGGGAAGAAGAUGCUGGGCUAAAGAGAGAGAUAGUUUCCUGUUAUUGAAUAGUAACAGGGCUUGAGUUUGCAGUUUUAUGUGCACCUCUGUAGCAAUGUUACCUUGAAUAUGUUUCCAAGAGCUGAGAAAAAGUCUUAGAGCAAAAGCCAAUGGAUGAAUCAGAAGGAUGUGCAGCAUUGCAUAGAAGGGUACUGAAGUAUAUUCAACUGCAGAAGUGAGAGAGACCAUACAGAUGAGAAACGAAGAGGGCUGCACUGCUUUGCUCUGUGCAUAAAAGCACAGUCUUUGCCCUACGACCUCCUGCAACACAUGCAGGUCAGCAUCAUGUGCACCAGAAGGAAGCAGACUGUAAAGCAAUUGGCCUGAAUUCAAGAAUUUUAUAUUGCUGAAGGUUUGAUUACAAGUGUUUUAUAAUCUCAGCAUUUUGAAAUGUUUAAUUUUGGUAAUUCAUCUUAUAAAAUGUGAAAGGAAGCUAAAGAAUGCUGAACCAAUUAUAAGCCAAAGUAUAUUUGCUAUUGCUUAUUUUUUCUGCAUUUGAUGUUGCAAUAAAUAUGCCUGCCCUACAA
Agelaius phoeniceus (red-winged blackbird) is the source of this 3342-nucleotide long non-coding RNA. RefSeq lists it as uncharacterized. NCBI's taxonomy places the organism in Eukaryota, Metazoa, Chordata, Aves, Passeriformes, Icteridae. The record is from RefSeq and is a predicted model, not a curated record.